This 126-nucleotide small nucleolar RNA is filed under the name Rhinopithecus bieti (black snub-nosed monkey). RNAcentral's name for it is "Small nucleolar RNA SNORA33 (ENSRBIG00000021963.1)". It matches the Rfam family "Small nucleolar RNA SNORA33". From Rfam's summary of the family: ACA33 is a member of the H/ACA class of snoRNA that guide the sites of modification of uridines to pseudouridines. Lineage: Eukaryota; Metazoa; Chordata; Mammalia; Primates; Cercopithecidae. The record is from Rfam by way of RNAcentral.
GUUCCUGUUUUAAAAUUGCCAUUUAUGUGUUUGUGCAGACGUACUUUAAAAACUGGCAAUAGUAAAGCCAUGUUACGAGCCUUAAGGACAUUGAAGUCGUUAAGGUCCCUGGAAGUGGCUAUAACA